GAUGAACGCUGGCGGCGUGCCUAAUACAUGCAAGUCGAGCGAACAGACGAGGAGCUUGCUCCUCUGACGUUAGCGGCGGACGGGUGAGUAACACGUGGAUAACCUACCUAUAAGACUGGGAUAACUUCGGGAAACCGGAGCUAAUACCGGAUAAUAUUUUGAACCGCAUGGUUCAAUAGUGAAAGACGGUUUUGCUGUCACUUAUAGAUGGAUCCGCGCCGCAUUAGCUAGUUGGUAAGGUAACGGCUUACCAAGGCAACGAUGCGUAGCCGACCUGAGAGGGUGAUCGGCCACACUGGAACUGAGACACGGUCCAGACUCCUACGGGAGGCAGCAGUAGGGAAUCUUCCGCAAUGGGCGAAAGCCUGACGGAGCAACGCCGCGUGAGUGAUGAAUGUCUUCGGAUCGUAAAACUCUGUUAUUAGGGAAGAACAAAUGUGUAAGUAACUAUGCACGUCUUGACGGUACCUAAUCAGAAAGCCACGGCUAACUACGUG
RNAcentral lists this ribosomal RNA (497 nucleotides) under uncultured bacterium. Its description in RNAcentral is "partial 16S ribosomal RNA". It matches the Rfam family "Bacterial small subunit ribosomal RNA", at positions 28 to 507 of the family's 1533-position model. The record is from RNAcentral.